UUAAUUCCUAGAAUCCUGUAAAAACCUGCGAUUUUGCAGGGAUUUCACAAUUUUAUUAAAACACAAUCUUUGUUGUCUUACAAUAAUAUUAGAGUAUAAAAUAAGAAAAGCAAGGUUCUAGGAAAAAUAAAUAAAACCAUUGUUCUAAUACAAUAAAUAAAUGACAACACUUGUAAUAUUCGAACAUAACAUAUAAUGCACAUUUCAAAAACUCAUUCUCUUAUAUGGAAAGUUUUUGCAUUCUUCCGGAUCUUGUACUUAGAGAAUCAGUGACAGUCCAUUCACAUUUUUUAUCAAUGCACUUCAGAUAAAAAGUCUUGUUUGCUAACGGUGGAUAAUCGCGAUCCGUUUCACAUCCAAUAUACACUACAAUGAAGAAAUAUAAUAAAAUAAUGUUGCUAAAACAUGAUAAAAAAAAAAGUUGUGUAUGAACUACAAAGCAAAGAAGGAAAUUCAAAAUGGAUGAAAAUAUGGCUUACAACCACCAACUUCUGAUGUGAUAAGAAAUAAGGAAAGAAAAAGAAUCAUUGCAUAAACAAAUUUGAGAGUUUCAAUCAUAGUUUUU
RNAcentral lists this long non-coding RNA (565 nucleotides) under Medicago truncatula (barrel medic). Its description in RNAcentral is "lncRNA gene32017". The record is from RNAcentral. Lineage: Eukaryota; Viridiplantae; Streptophyta; Magnoliopsida; Fabales; Fabaceae.